This 468-nucleotide ribosomal RNA is filed under the name uncultured bacterium. RNAcentral describes it as "partial 16S ribosomal RNA". It matches the Rfam family "Bacterial small subunit ribosomal RNA", at positions 28 to 507 of the family's 1533-position model. The record is from RNAcentral.
GACGAACGCUGGCGGCGUGCUUAACACAUGCAAGUCGAACGGAAAGGCCAUGCUUUUGUUGGGUGCUCGAGUGGCGAACGGGUGAGUAACACGUGAGUAACCUGCCCUUGACUUUGGGAUAACUUCAGGAAACUGGGGCUAAUACCGGAUAGGAGCUCCUGCUGCAUGGUGGGGGUUGGAAAGUUUCGGCGGUUGGGGAUGGACUCGCGGGUUAUCAGCUUGUUGGUGGGGUAGUGGCUUACCAAGGCUUCGACGGGUAGCCGGCCUGAGAGGGUGACCGGGAACAGGGGGACUGAGAUACGGCCCAGAGUACUACGGGAGGCAGCAGUAGGGAAUAUUGCACAAUGGGGCGAAGUCUGGUGCAGCAACGCCGCGUUCGGGAUGCCGGCCUUCGGGUUGUAAACCGCUUUCGCCUGUGACGAAGCGUGAUUGACGGUACUAGGUAAAGAAGCACCGGCUAACUACGUG